AUGCCGAUUGUGUCAGCGAUCGAGCAGUGUGUUGAUCUCAAGACUCUCACCUUGGAUGAUCUGCUUGGUCGCUUCAAGGCCCAUGAUGAGCGGACGAAGUUGAGUUACGGCGAUGCAAAACAUGAUGAGUACCUGAUGUUAACGCGUGCUCAGUGGCUGGCAAUGGUUUCCAAAGAGAACAAUUUCAACAAGGCGUCCGGUAGCGGUGAAAAGUACCGUCCCGCAAAGGACACCGACGAAGAGUCGGAGAAGCCAAGGAAGAAAAAGUUCGACAAGAGGAAGAUCUGCUGCCACAACUGUAAUCUGCUCGGACACUUCAAGUCGGAGUGUAAGAAUCCCCCGAAGGAGAAGGCGCUCAUAGCCCAGCAAGGAGACGGAGGUGACAUGAUGUUGAUGUGUGAACUCGUGGACGAGAAGGAUCCAGUUCUUCAAGCGUCGACUAAAGAAAUUGUCACGCUCAUGGAAGAAAAAGUUUGCCAUUAUAAUCAUGGUUCGGAUACUCGUAUCCACCUACAGAUACGGGAGGUGAUUUCGAAACUCGUGUCGAAGCUAUUGAUGCGAGACAUAAUUCUAAAAUUUGUGUCGAUGCUACGGACACGAAUAUCAUUUUGGCGUACGUGGCACCGGAAGACCACGAAUCAAAGUAUGCUGGUGUAA
This 657-nucleotide ribosomal RNA is filed under the name Triticum aestivum (bread wheat). Its description in RNAcentral is "partial small subunit ribosomal RNA". Lineage: Eukaryota; Viridiplantae; Streptophyta; Magnoliopsida; Poales; Poaceae. The record is from RNAcentral.